GGGUGAGUAACACGUGGAUAACCUACCUAUAAGACUGGGAUAACUUCGGGAAACCGGAGCUAAUACCGGAUAAUAUUUUGAACCGCAUGGUUCAAAGUGAAAGACGGUCUUGCUGUCACUUAUAGAUGGAUUCGCGCUGCAUUAGCUAGUUGGUAAGGUAACGGCUUACCAAGCAACGAUGCAUAGCCGACCUGAGAGGGUGAUCGGCCACGCUGGAACUGAGACACGGUCCAG
Molecule: ribosomal RNA, 234 nt
Filed under: uncultured Staphylococcus sp.
Lineage: Bacteria; Bacillati; Bacillota; Bacilli; Caryophanales; Staphylococcaceae
Description: partial 16S ribosomal RNA
Rfam family: Bacterial small subunit ribosomal RNA
Source: RNAcentral